Molecule: ribosomal RNA, 25 nt
Filed under: Aureoboletus projectellus
Lineage: Eukaryota; Fungi; Basidiomycota; Agaricomycetes; Boletales; Boletaceae
Also listed under: 3 other names
Description: partial 25S ribosomal RNA
Source: RNAcentral
UUGACCUCAAAUCAGGUAGGACUAC